UACGGGGGGAGCAAGCGUUGUUCGGAUUUACUGGGCGUAAAGGGCGCGUAGGCGGUCAGCACAAGUCAGUUGUGAAAUCUCCGGGCUUAACUCGGAAAGGUCAACUGAUACUGUGCGACUAGAGUGCGGAAGGGGCAACUGGGAUUCUCGGUGUAGCGGUGAAAUGCGUAGAUAUCGGGAGGAACACCAGUAGCGAAGGCGGCUCCCUGGGCCAUUCCUGACGCUGAGACGCGAAAGCGUGGGGAGCAAACAGG
This 254-nucleotide ribosomal RNA is filed under the name uncultured bacterium. RNAcentral describes it as "partial 16S ribosomal RNA". It matches the Rfam family "Bacterial small subunit ribosomal RNA", at positions 524 to 776 of the family's 1533-position model. The record is from RNAcentral.